UUCUUAUUUUACAUCCACACAACCAUGAGCUUUUUCUUUGUUUUUUUUUCUUUUCUUUUUCUUUGCUCUAUAGUUUCAAGGGUGAUUUCUUUUUCUUGUUUCUUUUCAUACUUUCACCCUUUUAUAAAACAUCACUUUUCCAAGUUUCUAAUCAACUCUUUUUACUUUACUCUCCCCAACUUUAGAUUCCAAAACCAAAUUUAUUCAAUAAUGC
RNAcentral lists this long non-coding RNA (214 nucleotides) under Lathyrus oleraceus (garden pea). Its description in RNAcentral is "Pisum sativum (pea) long non-coding RNA (PSAT_LNC015084)". The record is from RNAcentral. Lineage: Eukaryota; Viridiplantae; Streptophyta; Magnoliopsida; Fabales; Fabaceae.